RNAcentral lists this ribosomal RNA (441 nucleotides) under uncultured bacterium. RNAcentral's name for it is "bacterial SSU rRNA". It matches the Rfam family "Bacterial small subunit ribosomal RNA", at positions 1063 to 1503 of the family's 1533-position model. The record is from RNAcentral.
UGUCGUGAGAUGUUGGGUUAAGUCCCGCAACGAGCGCAACCCUUGUCAUUAGUUGCCAUCAUUAAGUUGGGCACUCUAAUGAGACUGCCGGUGACAAACCGGAGGAAGGUGGGGAUGACGUCAAGUCAUCAUGCCCCUUAUGACCUGGGCUACACACGUGCUACAAUGGACGGUACAACGAGAAGCGAACCUGCGAAGGCAAGCGGAUCUCUUAAAGCCGUUCUCAGUUCGGACUGUAGGCUGCAACUCGCCUACACGAAGCUGGAAUCGCUAGUAAUCGCGGAUCAGCACGCCGCGGUGAAUACGUUCCCGGGCCUUGUACACACCGCCCGUCACACCAUGAGAGUCUGUAACACCCAAAGCCGGUGGGAUAACCUUUAUAGGAGUCAGCCGUCUAAGGUAGGACAGAUGAUUAGGGUGAAGUCGUAACAAGGUAGCCGU